This 433-nucleotide ribosomal RNA is filed under the name uncultured bacterium. RNAcentral's name for it is "partial 16S ribosomal RNA". It matches the Rfam family "Bacterial small subunit ribosomal RNA", at positions 29 to 507 of the family's 1533-position model. The record is from RNAcentral.
AACGAACGCUGGCGGCAUGCCUAACACAUGCAAGUCGAACGAGACCUUCGGGUCUAGUGGCGCACGGGUGCGUAACGCGUGGGAACCUGCCCUUAGGUUCGGUAUAACUCCCCGAAGGGGGUGCUAAUACCGGAUAAUGUCUUCGGACCAAAGAUUUAUCGCCUUUGGAUGGGCCCGCGUUGGAUUAGCUAGUUGGUAGGGUAAAAGCCUACCAAGGCGACGAUCCAUAGCUGGUCUGAGAGGAUGAUCAGCCACACUGGGACUGAGACACGGCCCAGACUCCUACGGGAGGCAGCAGUGGGGAAUAUUGGACAAUGGGCGAAAGCCUGAUCCAGCAAUGCCGCGUGAGUGAUGAAGGCCUUAGGGUUGUAAAGCUCUUUUACCCAGGAUGAUAAUGACAGUACCGGGAGAAUAAGCGCCGGCUAACUCCGUG